GAUGAACGCUGGCGGCGCGCCUAAUACAUGCAAGUCGAGCGAACAGACGAGGAGCUUGCUCCUUUGACGUUAGCGGCGGACGGGUGAGUAACACGUGGGUAACCUACCUAUAAGACUGGGAUAACUUCGGGAAACCGGAGCUAAUACCGGAUAAUAUUUCGAACCGCAUGGUUCGAUAGUGAAAGAUGGCUUUGCUAUCACUUAUAGAUGGACCUGCGCCGUAUUAGCUAGUUGGUAAGGUAACGGCUUACCAAGGCAACGAUACGUAGCCGACCUGAGAGGGUGAUCGGCCACACUGGAACUGAGACACGGUCCAGACUCCUACGGGAGGCAGCAGUAGGGAAUCUUCCGCAAUGGGCGAAAGCCUGACGGAGCAACGCCGCGUGAGUGAUGAAGGUCUUCGGAUCGUAAAACUCUGUUAUUAGGGAAGAACAAACGUGUAAGUAACUGUGCACGUCUUGACGGUACCUAAUCAGAAAGCCACGGCUAACUACGUG
RNAcentral lists this ribosomal RNA (497 nucleotides) under uncultured bacterium. RNAcentral's name for it is "partial 16S ribosomal RNA". It matches the Rfam family "Bacterial small subunit ribosomal RNA", at positions 28 to 507 of the family's 1533-position model. The record is from RNAcentral.